CGCCCUUACGGGAGGCAGCAGCAAGGAAUUUUCCCCAAUGGGCGCAAGCUGCAGGGAGCAACGCCGCGUGGAGGACGACGGCCUUCGGGUUGUAAACUCCUUUCGGGUGGGACGACCACGACGGUACCACCAGAAGCAGCCCCGGCUAACUCUGUGUCAGCAGCCGCGGUAAGACAGAGGGGGCAAGUGUUGUCCGGAGUUACUGGGCGUAAAGGGCGCGGAGGCGGUCUGCGGCGUCGGCGCUGAAAGCCCGCUUAACGGGGCGAGGCGUGCCGAUACGCGCAGACUCGAGGCGAGCAGAGGGUGGCGGAAAUUCCGGGUGGAGCGGUGAAAUGCGUAGAGAUCCGGAGGAACGGCAGUGGGGAAGCCGGCCACCUGGGCUCGACCUGACGGUGCGGCGCGACAGGUGGGGGAGCAAACCGGAUUAGAUACCCGGGUAGGCCAGGCCGGAAACGAGGC
Molecule: ribosomal RNA, 459 nt
Filed under: uncultured bacterium
Lineage: Bacteria
Description: bacterial SSU rRNA
Rfam family: Bacterial small subunit ribosomal RNA
Source: RNAcentral